This 468-nucleotide ribosomal RNA is filed under the name uncultured bacterium. Its description in RNAcentral is "partial 16S ribosomal RNA". It matches the Rfam family "Bacterial small subunit ribosomal RNA", at positions 28 to 507 of the family's 1533-position model. The record is from RNAcentral.
GACGAACGCUGGCGGCGUGCUUAACACAUGCAAGUCGAACGGAAAGGCCCUGCUUUUGUGGGGUGCUCGAGUGGCGAACGGGUGAGUAACACGUGAGUAACCUGCCCUUGACUUUGGGAUAACUUAAGGAAACUGGGUCUAAUACCGGAUAGGAGCUACUGCUGCAUGGUGGGGGUUGGAAAGUUUCGGCGGUUGGGGGUGGACUCGCGGCUUAUCAGCUUGUUGGUGUGGUAGUGGAUUACCAAGGCUUGGAGGGGUGGCAGGGCUGCUCGGGUGACCGGCCCCGUCGGACUGGGGAUAAGGCCCAGACUACUAUGGGAGGCAGCGGUGGGGAAUAGUGCAUAAGAGGCGGAGGCAUGAUGCAGCAACGCCGCGUGCGGGAUGACGGCCUUCGGGUUGUAAUGCGCUGUCGCCUGUGACGAAGUGUGAGUGACGGUAAUGGGUAAAGAAGCACCGGCUAACUACGUG